GCGGCGGUGUUGGAAUUGGUAGACAAGCAUGCUUGAGGUGCAUGUACUCGAGAGGGUGUGAAGGUUCGAGUCCUUUCCGCCGCA
RNAcentral lists this transfer RNA (84 nucleotides) under Fimbriimonas ginsengisoli Gsoil 348. RNAcentral describes it as "tRNA-Leu". It matches the Rfam family "tRNA". From Rfam's summary of the family: Transfer RNA (tRNA) molecules are approximately 80 nucleotides in length. Their secondary structure includes four short double-helical elements and three loops (D, anti-codon, and T loops). Lineage: Bacteria; Bacillati; Armatimonadota; Fimbriimonadia; Fimbriimonadales; Fimbriimonadaceae. The record is from RNAcentral.